UACGUAGGGGUGCAAGCGUUUAAUCGGAAUUACUGGGCGUAAAGCGUGCGCAGGCGGUUUUGUAAGUCUGUCGUGAAAGCCCCGGGCUCAACCUGGGAAUUGCGAUGGAGACUGCAAGGCUUGAAUCUGGCAGAGGGGGGGUAGAAUUCCACGUGUAGCAGUGAAAAUGCGUAGAGAUGUGGAGGAACACCGAUGGCGAAGGCAGCCCCCCUGGGGUCAAG
RNAcentral lists this ribosomal RNA (221 nucleotides) under uncultured bacterium. Its description in RNAcentral is "partial 16S ribosomal RNA". It matches the Rfam family "Bacterial small subunit ribosomal RNA", at positions 524 to 738 of the family's 1533-position model. The record is from RNAcentral.